Molecule: non-coding RNA, 366 nt
Organism: Arvicanthis niloticus (Nile rat)
Lineage: Eukaryota; Metazoa; Chordata; Mammalia; Rodentia; Muridae
Source: the annotation of a RefSeq genome assembly
AUGAAGACAGACACACUGUUCCUAUGGGUGCUGCUGCUCUGGGUUCCAGGCUCCACUGGUGACAUUGUGCUGACCAAGUCUCCAGGUUCUUUGGCUGUGUCUCUAGGGCAGACAGCCACCAUCUCCUGCAUGGACAGUGAAGGUAUCUACAGUAAUAUGCACUGGUACCAACAGAAACCAUGUCAGCCACCCAAACUCCUCAUCUAUUUAGCAUCCAACCAAGCAUCCGGGGUUCCUGCCAGGUUCAGUCGGAGUGGGUCUAGGACAGACUUCACUUUCACCAUCAAUCCUAUGGGGGCUGAUGAUGAUGGAGACUAUUUCUGUCAGCAAGGUAAUAAGCUUCCUCCCACAGUCCUCCAGGCCUGA